Molecule: ribosomal RNA, 1329 nt
Filed under: human oral metagenome
Description: bacterial LSU rRNA
Rfam family: Bacterial large subunit ribosomal RNA
Source: RNAcentral
AGAGUGCGUAAUAGCUCACUGGUCGAGAGGCCCUGCGCCGAAAAUAUCCGGGGCUCAAGUACAGAACCGAAGUCGCGGCAAGCAGCAAUGCUUGGGUAGGGGAGCGUACCAUAUAGGACGAAGGCUGACCGGAAGGACAGCUGGACCGUAUGGCAGAGAGAAUGCCGGUAUGAGUAGCGAAACGGACGGUGAGAAUCCGUCCCACCGAAAGCCUAAGGGAUCCUGAGCAACGCUCGUCGACUCAGGGUAAGUCGGGACCUAAGCCGAGGCAAAAAGCAUAGGCGAUGGACAACAGGCGAACAUUCCUGUACUGCAUGCAACCGUAUGAGGAUGGAGUGACGCAGCAAGGAGCUUGCGCGCGCGAAUGGAAGAGCGCGUCGAACGCGGUAGGCUGUAUGGGAGGCAAAUCCCCCAUACAAAGCUGAGAGCGGAUAGGGAGCCGAUUCCGCAAGGAAGAAGCGAAGGGAAGCGUACUACACUGCCGAGAAAAACUUCUAACGAGGCGACAUGCACCCGUACCAAAACCGACACAGGUAGGCGGGGAGAGAAUCCUGAGGUGCGCGGGAAAACCCUCGUUAAGGAACUCGGCAAAAUGCAUCCGUAACUUCGGGAAAAGGAUGGCCGUAGCUGGUGAAGCUUUUUACAAGUGGAGCUGGAGACGGCGGCAGAAAAGAGGCCCAAGCGACUGUUUACCACAAACACAGGUGCCUGCGAAAGCGCAAGCUGAAGUAUAGGUGCUGACGCCUGCCCGGUGCAGGAAGGUUAAGGAGAGUUGUUAGUCCUUGCGAUGAAGCAGCGAACUGAAGCCCCUGUAAACGGCGGCCGUAACUAUAACGGUCCUAAGGUAGCGAAAUUCCUUGUCGGGUAAGUUCCGACCCGCACGAAAGGCGUAACGAUUUGGGCACUGUCUCAACGAGGGACCCGGUGAAAUUGAAAUACCUGUGAAGAUGCAGGUUACCCGCGACUGGACAGAAAGACCCCAUGGAGCUUUACUGCAGCUUGGCAUUGGUCUUUGGCAUAUGACGUACAGGAUAGCCGGGAGACUGGGAAGAUAGAUCGCUAGAUUUAUCGGAGUCACCGUUGGGAUACCGGCCUUUAUAUGCGAAGGAUCUAACCGGAACAUUAACCGUGUUCGGGACAGUACCAGGCGGGCAGUUUGACUGGGGCGGUCGCCUCCGAAAGAGCAACGGAGGCGUCCAAAGGUUCCCUCAGCGCGGACAGAAAUCGCGCGCAGAGCAUAAAGGCACAAGGGAGCUUGACUGCGAGACUGACGGGUCGAGCAGGUACGAAAGUAGGGCUUAGUGAUCCGGUGGAAAGAGAGUGGAAUUG